AGGAUGGAAAAACUGAGAAGAAAAAGAAAACAAAGACUGUUGUGGAGAAGUACUGGGACUGGGAACUCACUAAUGAGACCCAGCCAAUAUGGCUUCGGAACCCGAAGGAAGUCUCCACGGAGGAUUACAAUGAAUUCUACAAAAAAACUUUCAAUGAAUACUUGGAUCCAUUAGCAUCAUCUCAUUUUACAACAGAGGGUGAAGUAGAAUUCAG
This 214-nucleotide unclassified non-coding RNA is filed under the name Hevea brasiliensis (rubber tree). Lineage: Eukaryota; Viridiplantae; Streptophyta; Magnoliopsida; Malpighiales; Euphorbiaceae. The record is from RNAcentral.